This 471-nucleotide ribosomal RNA is filed under the name Salmonella enterica. RNAcentral describes it as "bacterial SSU rRNA". It matches the Rfam family "Bacterial small subunit ribosomal RNA", at positions 1 to 468 of the family's 1533-position model. The record is from RNAcentral. Lineage: Bacteria; Pseudomonadati; Pseudomonadota; Gammaproteobacteria; Enterobacterales; Enterobacteriaceae. RNAcentral also lists the same sequence under 1 other name.
AAAUUGAAGAGUUUGAUCAUGGCUCAGAUUGAACGCUGGCGGCAGGCCUAACACAUGCAAGUCGAACGGUAACAGGAAGCAGCUUGCUGCUUCGCUGACGAGUGGCGGACGGGUGAGUAAUGUCUGGGAAACUGCCUGAUGGAGGGGGAUAACUACUGGAAACGGUGGCUAAUACCGCAUAACGUCGCAAGACCAAAGAGGGGGACCUUCGGGCCUCUUGCCAUCAGAUGUGCCCAGAUGGGAUUAGCUUGUUGGUGAGGUAACGGCUCACCAAGGCGACGAUCCCUAGCUGGUCUGAGAGGAUGACCAGCCACACUGGAACUGAGACACGGUCCAGACUCCUACGGGAGGCAGCAGUGGGGAAUAUUGCACAAUGGGCGCAAGCCUGAUGCAGCCAUGCCGAGUGUAUGAAGAAGGCCUUCGGGUUGUAAAGUACUUUCAGCGGGGAGGAAGGUGUUGUGGUUAAUAACC